AUGUACCCCACACUCCCCAUACAUACCCCAUACACACACCACACACACACACAUACACACACGUACCCCACACUUCCCACACAUACCCCAUACACACACCCCACACACACAUAUACUCCACACUCCCCACACAUACCCCAUACACACACCCCACACACACAUACACACACAUAUACUCCACACUCCCCACACAUACCCUAUACGCACACCCCACACACACAUAUAUACCCCACACUCCCCACACAUACCCCAACACACACCCCACACACACAUAUACCCCACACUCCCCACACAUAUCCCAUACAUACACCCGACACACAUAUACACACAUACACCCCCCUCGCCUCACACAUACCCUAUACACACACACCACAAACACAUAUACACACACAUAUACCCCACACUCUCCACACAUACCCCAUACACAAACCCCACACACACAUAUACACACACAUAUACCCCACACUCCCCAUACAUACCCCAUCACACACCCCACACACAUAUACACACAUACACCCCCCUCGCCCCACACAUACCAUAUACACACACCCCACACACACAUAUACACACACAUAUACCCCACAUGCCCCACACAUACCCCAUACACACACCCCACACACACACAUGCCCCACACUCCCCACACAUACCCCAUACAUACACCUCACACAGACAUAUACACACACAUAUACCCCACACUCCCCACACAUACCCAUACACACACCCCACACACACAUAUACACACACAUAUACCCCACACUCCCCACACAUACCCCAUACAUAUCCCCACACACACCCCCUGUGAACACACAUUUCACACACCCCACACACAUAUACCAUACACAUCCUACACACACACACCCCAUACAUAUUCCCCCUACACACCCUGCAAAAACACACCCCACACACACAUACACCACACACAUCCACACACACUCCACAUACCCAACACACUCCACACACACAUAAACCACACACACACCUCUCACACACACCACACAUGCAUCCCUCAUACUCCACACACAAAUACACCACACACACAUCCUGAAACCCCACACAUAUAUACAUCACACAUACAUACACCACACACGCAUCCAUCAUACUCCACACACAAAUACACCACACACACAUCCUGA
This 1134-nucleotide long non-coding RNA is filed under the name Callithrix jacchus (white-tufted-ear marmoset). RNAcentral's name for it is "lncRNA (ENSCJAG00000076220.1)". The record is from RNAcentral. Lineage: Eukaryota; Metazoa; Chordata; Mammalia; Primates; Cebidae.